Non-coding RNA from Tetranychus urticae (two-spotted spider mite), 2776 nucleotides. Lineage: Eukaryota; Metazoa; Arthropoda; Arachnida; Trombidiformes; Tetranychidae. The record is from RefSeq and is a predicted model, not a curated record.
UGACUCUCAAUCCUUAACAGUUGGUAAAGAAAAAUCAAUAUAUAAUAAUCGUGGGUAAAUCAUGAAAUUCAAAUCAACAUAUCAACAGAUAUCACUAUUAUAAAAAUUAAAACAAAAUUAUAGAACUGUAUUGAUAACAAGACAAAAAGCAUGCAACAAAAUUGGUUGUGAGAACCAAAAAAACCGUUGACUAAUUGAAAACCGUUUGGUAAAGAUGAUGAUUCAAAAGUUGAACUCCUUUGUUUUCCUUUUUGCUCUCGAUAUUUACUUCUGAUUUUUUCGGUUAACUUAAAUCAUUCAAAUUAGAAUCCAAUCUUUUAUUUUUCUUGUUCAACAAAAAUAUUGAUGACAAAACAAAGCUUAAGCUCAAUAUUUUAUAUCAUCAUCAUUACGCUAAUGAUGAUAGCAGCAAUAUUAUAAAAUUUUGUUUACCAUUUUUUUGCUAAUUUUGUGAUUUUCUUCUAUUUAUUUGUCAACUUUAAGCUCCAUUUUGAAAACAUUAUUUCACCUCUUAAUCGUUAAAGUUUCACCUGAUUUUUCUCUUUUUUUCAUUCCAAUCUGAAUAUACUGAUUUAACUUUCCCACUAUCAAAUCAUCAGACAUCACCUCCAUUCAAAUCAUCGUCAAUAUUUUUACGUUUUUGCACUUUUUCUUCAAUUAUUUUACCACUUAUUGCCAAUUUUUUACCUCAUGUUUGUGUGUGAAUCCAUCUAUCAUUUCUUGUGGUUCAUUCUCAGCAAUUCAACCAGUCUUUAUGUCAAUCAUAACUUUCCAAUCGUGACAACUAUAUUUCAUCUGAAAACGCCAAAUUUUCAUUGUAAAUUUCCUAGACAUUUAGCUUUAUACUCACGCGACUCAGCGAGUCUCUUACCUUCUGAUCAUUCAAAAUGUCGACACUAAACACCUCCAUAUACUUCAUCAACACCAUAACACAAUUUGUUGCAAAUUAAGUGCUAAAAGGCCUUUCACUAAUGAAAAUCAAUUAGUGAAAGCGUAUUAAAACAUUGAUUUGAUUAGAUGGAAAAAAAGUGAAAAUAAUUUGUUUAUGAAUGAAUGUAAAUUUGAGAGAAGUGAAAAAAUUAACCUUACAAGUUUACUUUUUGUAAAAAGGAUUCAGUCAACCAGGUAACCUUAAUCACAAUUAAACAAUACCUGGCUUAAAGAUGAAUGCUAAUGACUGAUAGUGUGUAGGUCUAACAAAAACAACAAAUUAACUUUCCUCAACAUGUCAGUUAACCAUGGGUAUUGAGGGUUGACCACCAAAGAUACAACUCUUUCUGUGAACUACACUUAUUCAUAUUGCAUUCUAAAAGCACUUGUAUUUUGGUAAACAUGAUUUAUUUAAUUUGACGGCCAAUAGUUUUGUAUAUCAUUAAUGGAGAUGUGGUUUUACCGGUUAACAAUUAACUUUCAAUGAACAGUCAACAACAAGCAACUCUUCAACUGAUUGAUUGGUCUCCAUUUAGGCCAUUUGGUUAAAGACAGCAAACUCAAAAUUGACCAACAUAUCGAAACCUUAUACACUUGAAGUCAACAUUGUUCAUCAAGACAAAAAGCUCAAUUGCAAUACGAUGAUGGAGUCGAUUGUUUUGGAAUCGUAUUAAUUGUUCAAUCUUGGUCCCUCGGAAACGGCAACAAAAAAGAGCCACAUCAAACAACCAACUCAAGUCGCAAUCUUUUAUGGUUACUUCCUUACCCAGUUGAAACCUUGAGUUUAUCCUGCUAAUCACUCCUACUUAUACCGAUAAUCAACUAACCAAGAUCCAUUUAAUCACAUCCACCCUCACAAUUAACAUUAUUAAUACAAACCAAAGUCACAAACCUUGUUAAAAUCUCAUCAACUGCAGAGUCAAUCUGUUUUCCCUGUUGGUAUGGCUAACCAAUGUUUACCAUUGGGAUCGCUAUUAAUUUGCAUUUUGAUAGGCAUCUAAUUAAUUCCCUCAACACAGUGAUCAUUAAUACCACAAAUAUGAAUCAUUAUAUUGCUCUAAUCGUACAAAAUAGCCAUAAAUUUUGAUCGAUUUAGCUUGAUCAUUUAUACUCCACAUAACCAUUGGUUACUUUGAACCAUUUUUGUUUUCCUUGCUGAACAAUUCCCACUGCCCUUGAAACUCACUAUAUUGUGAUACAUUAUUGUAAUGUUUAUUAAUAUUGUUUCCAGUUUCCAUGGAAUCAAUGGUUCAACACUGCCACACAAUUAAACUUGAACAAGAUUAAUUGUAAUACCUGAGCGAUGAUUACCGUAUUGAUGCGUAUCGUAGCACCGGGCUUAAUAAUGAGAAUGUUACUCUUAAAGGCACAAUUUUGUGACAAUAGAGGCGCCUUUUAAUAAUAAGCAAUGAUCUUCGCGCAUUUGCAGUGGCUCAAAAGGCGCUUAUAUGAUGGCGUACUUUUUUAUAAGCGCGGCGCCACGAUACGCGUCAAUACGGUAAUUCUUAGGGUUAAAGAUUGCUUUCAACUUGAUCUCUCUUGUUUAAAACCUUGAUUGUGUACAACCUUUCUUUUCCCUUUGCCUUAAAUUAAUUGUUACCACUCAUCCAGAAAUUUGAUUCACCAACAAUCUAAUUGUAAUACAACCUCAACUCUCAUGAUCAUUGGAUUAUUAUCAUUAUCAUCAUCAUUUUUCUCACUCUCUUGUAAACUCUGAAACAAUCUUACAUAUAAGACAGAUCCAGAUUUUUUUGAUUCUUAAACCUCCAUCAUUAAUAUCACUGCCAAGGCAGUAUUAAGCCACAAGGUCUUGGUGAAUUUGUUUGCUGGUGUUGCCUGAUCAAUG